This 460-nucleotide ribosomal RNA is filed under the name uncultured bacterium. RNAcentral describes it as "partial 16S ribosomal RNA". It matches the Rfam family "Bacterial small subunit ribosomal RNA", at positions 338 to 795 of the family's 1533-position model. The record is from RNAcentral.
CCUACGGGAGGCAGCAGUGAGGAAUAUUGGUCAAUGGGCGCGAGCCUGAACCAGCCAAGUCGCGUGAAGGAUGACGGCCCUACGGGUUGUAAACUUCUUUUGUCAGGGAGCAAUUGGGUCCACGCGUGGGCUUAGCGAGAGUACCUGAAGAAAAAGCAUCGGCUAACUCCGUGCCAGCAGCCGCGGUAAUACGGAGGAUGCGAGCGUUCUCCGGAUUUAUUGGGUUUAAAGGGUGCGUAGGCGGAAUAUCAAGUCAGCGGUAAAAAUUCGGGGCUAAACCCCGUCGUGCCGUUGAAACUGAUGUUCUGGAGUGGGCGAGAAGUAUGCGGAAUGCGUGGUGUAGCGGUGAAAUGCAUAGAUAUCACGCAGAACUCCGAUUGCGAAGGCAGCAUACCGGCGCCCAACUGACGCUGAAGCACGAAAGCGUGGGUAUCGAACAGGAUUAGAUACCCCGGUAGUC